RNAcentral lists this non-coding RNA (23 nucleotides) under Arabidopsis thaliana (thale cress). Lineage: Eukaryota; Viridiplantae; Streptophyta; Magnoliopsida; Brassicales; Brassicaceae. The record is from RNAcentral.
UCGAUCAGAUGUUGGCAUGUGUA